Molecule: long non-coding RNA, 129 nt
Organism: Sapajus apella (tufted capuchin)
Lineage: Eukaryota; Metazoa; Chordata; Mammalia; Primates; Cebidae
Exons: 3
Source: RefSeq, a predicted model, not a curated record
CUUUAAGGAAUGUGUUUUGAGCAUCCACUAUGUUCAGGUCACUGUGUUACAUAUGUGGAAAUAUGGAGAUGAGUAUGUGCAAUCUGUAUGAGCCCAUACCAGGUGUGGAAUACCUAUCCAGCUUUGUUU